RNAcentral lists this transfer RNA (81 nucleotides) under Paragonimus westermani. RNAcentral describes it as "tRNA-Asn". It matches the Rfam family "tRNA". From Rfam's summary of the family: Transfer RNA (tRNA) molecules are approximately 80 nucleotides in length. Their secondary structure includes four short double-helical elements and three loops (D, anti-codon, and T loops). Lineage: Eukaryota; Metazoa; Platyhelminthes; Trematoda; Plagiorchiida; Troglotrematidae. The record is from RNAcentral.
GGCUUCGUUGCUCAGUUGGUAGAGCGCUUGCCGCGUUGAGGCAUGCCGUGUCUGCCGCUAGUUCGAAUCCAGCCGAAGCCC